GACGAACGCUGGCGGCGUGCCUAAUACAUGCAAGUCGAACGCUUCUUUCCUCCCGAGUGCUUGCACUCAAUUGGAAAGAGGAGUGGCGGACGGGUGAGUAACACGUGGGUAACCUACCCAUCAGAGGGGGAUAACACCUGGAAACAGGUGCUAAUACCGCAUAACAGUUUAUGCCGCAUGGCAUAAGAGUGAAAGGCGCUUUCGGGUGUCGCUGAUGGUUGGACCCGCGGUGCAUUAGCUAGUUGGUGAGGUAACGGCUCACCAAGGCGACGAUGCAUAGACGACCUGAGAGGGUGAUCGGCCACACUGGGACUGAGACACGGCCCAGACUCCUACGGGAGGCAGCAGUAGGGAAUCUUCGACAAUGGACGAAAGUCUGACCGAGCAACGCCGCGUGAGUGAAGAAGGUGUUCGGAUCGUAAAACUCUGUUGUUAGAGAAGAACAAGGACGGUAGUAACUGAACGUCCCCUGACGGUAUCUAAACAAAAAGCCACGGCUAACUACGUG
This 508-nucleotide ribosomal RNA is filed under the name uncultured bacterium. RNAcentral's name for it is "partial 16S ribosomal RNA". It matches the Rfam family "Bacterial small subunit ribosomal RNA", at positions 28 to 507 of the family's 1533-position model. The record is from RNAcentral.